Anas platyrhynchos (mallard) is the source of this 2151-nucleotide non-coding RNA. NCBI's taxonomy places the organism in Eukaryota, Metazoa, Chordata, Aves, Anseriformes, Anatidae. The record is from RefSeq and is a predicted model, not a curated record.
CAUGCAACAGGAUAAAAAUAGGGAUAAAAAUCCAAACCUAACAUCAUUAUGAUCUAAAUCUCAUCUCACUGUGGCUUCUGCUUUUCACUUGAUGGUUUUCUUCUUCAUGUAGCGUACUGUGCGAUCAAGGUGAUAUUAUGAUAAAUCAGCCCAGGAUUUCACAAACGCACUCAAAAUGCUUUAAAAUAAAGCUGUAGCAGCACCGCUCUCACCUUAGUAAAACAAACGCCCUAAAGGCGCCCUUUGUUUGCUGGCCUGGCAAGAAAACUAGAGAAACAAAAACUUAGUGUUAGAUCCAGAGCACCACAGCUGCCUCAUGUUAAGAAGUGUUGAUAUGAUUCAGUGAGCUCAGCAUCCAGAUGAAGAUUUGUAAAAUGGGAGGACACGUAACGUGAAAGCCUGAGCAGUACAGCAAUUUAGUUUGCAAGGAAUUUAGAGCAAAUUGAGAACAACUUACAUUGAGCUAAUAAAAUAAGCACAAAACAACAUGUUGGGGGCAAGCUUUGGCUGAGCUGUUGCAUUUUUCCAAUAACACCACCAUUAUUUUUUCUGAAAAUCCAUCCAGUGAUAUGGCGGCUGCUAAUGGAUUUGCAGGCCAGGUGAAACACGAACUGUGAGCUCAUCUUGAUGACUGAGAUUCUCAGACUAUUUCCUACUCCUACAAGGAGUACUUUCCUACUUUCCUACAAGAAGAACAACUUUACAGUAAAAUACAGGCAACAAAGAUUAAAGGAAGUGCAAAGCUGCUCCAGUUAUAGAUAAGAAAUUCUAAUAUGGUCUAGCUGCAGAUAAGAAAUUCUAAUAUGGUCUAGCUGCUUCUAGCAUUGUGAAAUUUUCCUAAUGGUGGCCAUUUAGAAACAAAGAAAUUAUUGUUACUCCGGAUGUGAUAGAUUUGAUGUUUACAGCCCACCCUUGAGCCCUUGGAUAUUUUACAUUAACACUUUUGAUAACGGUCCCUUUGGGUCAGGCAACAGGGGAGAAGGGGUUGGGGGCUGCAAGAGGAAAGUGUUAGAAAGAAAUUACGAAGUUUUAACUGUACAACAGGUUUGAAGAGCAGCUUCAAAGGAUUCCAUUUUAAAAAAAAAAAAAAAAAAAAAAACAGAUAUGGUGCCAGAACAGAAGUAAACAGAAAAGGCUGUAUAGUUACUGGAGAAUAACUCGGUAGGAACAGUGCAUCUAAGAGAACUCAGGCUUUGAGGCACAACAUGGUGUUGAUUAGUGCAAAUAAACCUCUUCAAGAAUCACCUUUCAGCAAUUACAAUCAGACACUACCACUGUGGCUUCAAAAGCUUCAUUAGCAAACCUACUCCCAGUGAGAGCUGCAAACCUCAGAUACCCUAGAAGUUUUAACUGAUGGUGAAGUGUCUUGCCUUAUUUAUUUUCUUCCAAAUUAAAGAAGAGUUUAUCUCUCUGAAAUGGAUCCACGGAUCCAUAAGCAGGUUCCUACAGUGUGAUUCUACCUAUGAAUAUGUUUGAAGAACGAGAACAAACUUGAAAACAACCUGUUGGCCAGAAUCGGUUGAGAAGCUUCUUCCAGUUACCUUCAUCUUCAGGAAAGCAUUCUGUACUUCUAAGGCACUGUUCUAUCCAGGGCAAUAUAGCCUGAAAACUUAGAAUGAAGAAAAAUUGAAAAUGAGACAGGUGCUAUCCAUCUAAAACUACAGGAACUUUGGAGGCCAGACUGGGCAACCUCCUGCUCAAAGCAGGGUCAACACUGGAGUCGGACCAGGGCUUUGUCCAGUCUUGCCUCAAAACCUCCAACAAUGGAGCAUCUACCAUGUCCCUGGGUCCCUGUUCCGCUGACAAAAAGCAAGAUAAAAGAGACUGGGAGAAAGCACUGGUGCAUUAGGGGCAUGGAUUCACAUGUUGACUUCAUAGUAGUAGCAAGCGGAAUGUGCUGAACCUGGCUGUGCACCUGCUGCAGAUAAGAAGCAGGGAAGGGUGUUCACUGGAACUCCUUUGAGCCAACUACUGCAAGCAUCACAGGAUAUGCACUGCUUGUAUUGUUAGGCUCAAAGUGAACACUUGCCUUAGCAUUUCCCAUGUGCCUUGCUUUAAGAGACGGUACUCUAGAUGUGAACCUAUGAAUACGUUUUUAGAUUUAAUGUGUAAUAAAUACAUUGGGAAAUAAAGUAAAAUGGAGUUUCUAGA